GAUGAACGCUGGCGGCGUGCCUAAUACAUGCAAGUCGAGCGAACAGACGAGGAGCUUGCUCCUCUGACGUUAGCGGCGGACGGGUGAGUAACACGUGGAUAACCUACCUAUAAGACUGGGAUAACUUCGGGAAACCGGAGCUAAUACCGGAUAAUAUAUUGAACCGCAUGGUUCAAUAGUGAAAGACGGUUUUGCUGUCACUUAUAGAUGGAUCCGCGCCGCAUUAGCUAGUUGGUAAGGUAACGGCUUACCAAGGCAACGAUGCGUAGCCGACCUGAGAGGGUGAUCGGCCACACUGGAACUGAGACACGGUCCAGACUCCUACGGGAGGCAGCAGUAGGGAAUCUUCCGCAAUGGGCGAAAGCUUGACGGAGCAACGCCGCGUGAGUGAUGAAGGUCUUCGGAUCGUAAACCUCUGUUAUUAGGGAAGAACAAAUGUGUAGGUAACUAUGCACGUCUUGACGGUACCUAAUCAGAAAGCCACGGCUAACUACGUG
Molecule: ribosomal RNA, 497 nt
Filed under: uncultured bacterium
Lineage: Bacteria
Description: partial 16S ribosomal RNA
Rfam family: Bacterial small subunit ribosomal RNA
Source: RNAcentral